CCUUUGACGUUAGCGGCGGACGGGUGAGUAACACGUGGGUAACCUACCUAUAAGACUGGGAUAACUUCGGGAAACCGGAGCUAAUACCGGAUAAUAUUUCGAACCGCAUGGUUCGAUAGUGAAAGGUGGUUCUGCUAUCACUUAUAGAUGGACCCGCGCCGUAUUAGCUAGUUGGUAAGGUAACGGCUUACCAAGGCGACGAUACGUAGCCGACCUGAGAGGGUGAUCGGCCACACUGGAACUGAGACACGGUCCAGACUCCUACGGGAGGCAGCAGCG
This 279-nucleotide ribosomal RNA is filed under the name uncultured Staphylococcus sp. RNAcentral describes it as "partial 16S ribosomal RNA". It matches the Rfam family "Bacterial small subunit ribosomal RNA", at positions 83 to 356 of the family's 1533-position model. Lineage: Bacteria; Bacillati; Bacillota; Bacilli; Caryophanales; Staphylococcaceae. The record is from RNAcentral.